RNAcentral lists this transfer RNA (67 nucleotides) under Parribacus antarcticus. RNAcentral's name for it is "tRNA-Ile". The record is from RNAcentral. Lineage: Eukaryota; Metazoa; Arthropoda; Malacostraca; Decapoda; Scyllaridae.
AAUAUGAUGCCUGAUAAAAGGCUUGUUUUGAUAGGACAAAUAAUGCAGGCAAACCUGCUCAUAUUAC